GACUGCACAAGGCUUUGGUACAGCUGUGACCCUCUUCAUCCUCUCCUGACCCCCUAGCUGACCCUCGUCCUCAGACCUCUGCAGAACUUUGACCAAGUGGUGGUGGAGGAGUUCCGGUGGGUCUGGGGUGGUCCUGGGUGACCCAGAGCUCAGACCUGGGUUCUGGGGAUGAGGGCAGGAGGCUGGAAGAGAUGACCUCCCCUAGCCCCCCAGGCUAUCCAGGACCCUGAAGUCUGCAAUGACCCUCCCACCAGGCUGGACCCACUGACCACCAGAAUGGGAGCCACCUUCUUCAGGGAGGCACCAGCCCAGGCCCUCGUGUGGGACCACGUGCGCCAGGGUCUGCAUGCCCUGUGGGAGGCAGAGGGCCUCUUGGCAGAGAUGGUCAUUCCAGACUUCGGCACGCCUAGCCUCACAGCCUCCAGACUGCUGGACGCUUUCUUCCCUGGCUAUGCCGUGGCUCUCCUCAUCCUGGGCCUCCUGCUCCUUACCCUUGCCCUUGUCCUGGUGCUAAAGUGGAGGGCGUGCCUCGGGGUGUCCAGCCUGGGGCAUAGAAGCGCACAGUGCAGUACGGAGGACGCUCUCCAGACAGGCGGCCCCUCACGCUGCUGCUCCCUCUGCUGAAACCCCAACUCCAAACCUCUCCUCUCCCGUCCUUCACCUCGCCCCAUGGCUUCCAGACAGCGCCUCAACCCUGAGGAAUGAAUCUGGAGUUCCAACACUGCUGCCUUUCCCAGGAACUCAGCCAGCGAGGGCCAGGUACCGGUCCGAGGUCACACAGCCAGGGGCUUCUUCUCUCCUAAGUCCCCAAGGACUGGACCUGCAGUGCUGGGACAGAGGCGGGAUGGGGAAGCCGUGCCUUGUCAACCCACGCAGGGAGGCUGCUGCCAUCCCCAAGGUGCAUAAAGCGGAGGACACCCCUGCUUCCCCGUCCAUGCUCAUUCAGGGCCCUGCUCCAGUGCUC
RNAcentral lists this long non-coding RNA (964 nucleotides) under Aotus nancymaae (Ma's night monkey). RNAcentral's name for it is "lncRNA (ENSANAG00000038928.1)". Lineage: Eukaryota; Metazoa; Chordata; Mammalia; Primates; Aotidae. The record is from RNAcentral.